AAUAGAUACCCAGGUAGUCCACGCCGUAAACGAUGGAUGCUAGCUAUUGGGGGGAAUCGACCCCCUCCGAAGCGAAGCUAACGCGUUAAGCAUCCCGCCUGAGUAGUACGAGCGCAAGCUUAAAACUCAAAGGAAUUGACGGGGACCCGCACAAGCGGUGGAGCGUGUGGUUUAAUUCGAUGGUAAACGAAGAACCUUACCAAGGUUUGACAUCCCGGUAGCCGUUCUCCGAAAGGAGAAUUUCAUUUAGUUGGACCGGUGACAGGUGAUGCAUGGCCGUCGUCAGCUCGUGUCGUGAGAUGUUGGGUUAAGUCCCGCAACGAGCGCAACCCUUAUGAUUUAGUUGGAUUUUUCUAAACAGACUGCCCUGGUAACAGGGAGGAAGGAGGGGAUGAUGUCAGGUCAGUAUUUCCCUUACACCUUGGGGCGACACACGCGCUACAAUGGCCGGUACAAUGGGCAGCUAAGCCGCGAGGUGGAGCAAAUCCCAUCAAAGCCGGUCCCAGUUCGGAUUGCAGGCUGAAACCCGCUGCAUGAAGCCGGAAUCGCUAGUAACC
RNAcentral lists this ribosomal RNA (557 nucleotides) under uncultured bacterium. RNAcentral describes it as "bacterial SSU rRNA". It matches the Rfam family "Bacterial small subunit ribosomal RNA", at positions 777 to 1343 of the family's 1533-position model. The record is from RNAcentral.